UAGGGAAUCUUCGGCAAUGGACGAAAGUCUGACCGAGCAACGCCGCGUGAGUGAAGAAGGUUUUCGGAUCGUAAAACUCUGUUGUUAGAGAAGAACAAGGACGUUAGUAACUGAACGUCCCCUGACGGUAUCUAACCAGAAAGCCACGGCUAACUACGUGCCAGCAGCCGCGGUAAUACGUAGGUGGCAAGCGUUGUCCGGAUUUAUUGGGCGUAAAGCGAGCGCAGGCGGUUUCUUAAGUCUGAUGUGAAAGCCCCCGGCUCAACCGGGGAGGGUCAUUGGAAACUGGGAGACUGGAGUGCAGAAGAGGAGAGUGGAAUUCCAUGUGUAGCGGUGAAAUGCGUAGAUAUAUGGAGAAACACCAGUGGCGAAGGCGGCUCGCUGGUCUGUAACUGACGCUGAGGCUCGAAAGCGUGGGGAGCAAACAGG
This 429-nucleotide ribosomal RNA is filed under the name Gemmatimonadota bacterium. Its description in RNAcentral is "Gemmatimonadetes bacterium partial 16S ribosomal RNA". It matches the Rfam family "Bacterial small subunit ribosomal RNA", at positions 355 to 776 of the family's 1533-position model. Lineage: Bacteria; Pseudomonadati; Gemmatimonadota. The record is from RNAcentral.